Molecule: ribosomal RNA, 465 nt
Filed under: uncultured Klebsiella sp.
Lineage: Bacteria; Pseudomonadati; Pseudomonadota; Gammaproteobacteria; Enterobacterales; Enterobacteriaceae
Description: bacterial SSU rRNA
Rfam family: Bacterial small subunit ribosomal RNA
Source: RNAcentral
CCUACGGGAGGCAGCAGUGGGGAAUAUUGCACAAUGGGCGCAAGCCUGAUGCAGCCAUGCCGCGUGUGUGAAGAAGGCCUUCGGGUUGUAAAGCACUUUCAGCGGGGAGGAAGGCGGUGAGGUUAAUAACCUCAUCGAUUGACGUUACCCGCAGAAGAAGCACCGGCUAACUCCGUGCCAGCAGCCGCGGUAAUACGGAGGGUGCAAGCGUUAAUCGGAAUUACUGGGCGUAAAGCGCACGCAGGCGGUCUGUCAAGUCGGAUGUGAAAUCCCCGGGCUCAACCUGGGAACUGCAUUCGAAACUGGCAGGCUAGAGUCUUGUAGAGGGGGGUAGAAUUCCAGAUGUAGCGGUGAAAUGCGUAGAGAUCUGGAGGAAUACCGGUGGCGAAGGCGGCCCCCUGGACAAAGACUGACGCUCAGGUGCGAAAGCGUGGGGAGCAAACAGGAUUAGAUACCCUAGUAGUC